GUAGUUAAUAAUACCAUAUUGUGCACAACCAGAAGAACCUACCAGUAGAAUAUACAACUAGGGGAGCUUUGGGGAGAAAAAAGAAGAAAGAACAAGAAGAGGAAGAAAAGGAAGAAGAAAGAAAGAGAGAGGGAGAGGGAGGGAGGGAGGGAGGGAGGGAGGGAGGGAGAGGGAGAGAGAGAAAGAAAGAAAGGAAGGAAAGAAAGGAAGGAAGGAAAGGAAGGAAGGAAGGGAAGAAAGAAAGAGAGAGAAAGAGAAAGAAAGAAAGAAAAGAACAGAAGAUUGGAAACAGAUGAAAAAAGAGAAAAUCUGUUUUAAACCCUUCCAUGACCUCUCUCUCACUUGCUCACUUGCUUGCGCUGGAGGAGGUCUGCCACCAUGUUGUGAGAAGCUCUGUGGAAAGGUCACGUGGUGAGGAACUGAGGCCUCCUGACAACAGCCAUAUGAUGGAACCUUCUUGGAAGCAAAUCCACCAACCCCAGCCAAGCCUUCAGAGACUGCAGCCCCUGCCACCAUCUUGAAUGCAGCCUCAUGAAAGACCCUGAGCCAGAACCACCCAGCUGAGCUGUUCCAGAAUUGGUGACCCUAAGAACCUGUGAAAAAAAACUCCACCAAACAGUCUUUCCAGCUGUGACAAGACAUCUUCUUCUGCUAACAAUGUUUCCUCCAUGUUAUGAAAGCUCGCAAGUGAAGUGUGUUUAUCAUUUAGUGCAAAGGCCAGAGAAGGAAGCGGCCAGCACACAGGUGGGAGAGUGAGCUCCUAGGAGAGAACAGUCUGGACUCUUGGCCAGGAGAAGAUGCCAGCACAAUUUCCCCACUUCCAGAGUUGGUACUGGCUACAAAAAGGUUCUUUACCUGCCACACAAGAGGGGCCAAAUAAAAACUGGAAUGCCAGGUUUAUGACAAGGAAAAGGUUUUCAUUUCAGGUGACAUCAGCUGGGAAACAAGAAUGAGCCCUCAAAUUCGUCUCAUCUCCCUGAAAGAUGGGAAGCAAGGGAUUUUAAAGGUUGCAAGGAAUGUGG
RNAcentral lists this long non-coding RNA (1022 nucleotides) under Equus caballus (horse). Its description in RNAcentral is "lncRNA (ENSECAG00000058252.1)". The record is from RNAcentral. Lineage: Eukaryota; Metazoa; Chordata; Mammalia; Perissodactyla; Equidae.